AAGAACUAACCASGAUUCCCCUAGUAACGGCGAGUGAAGAGGGAAAAGCCCAGCACCGAAGCCUGCGGCAGAUUUGCUGUUAGGCAAUGUGGUGUUUGGGUCGGCUCGUGGGAUUGCCACUCCACUCGAAGUCCAGCAUUGAGUAUGGUCACUGGAUUUGGCCCASAGAGGGUGAAAGGCCCGUACGGGUGGAGGUUCAGACAUGUAAGGCAGUUCACCAGGUCGACCUUAGAGUCGGGUUGUUUGAGAAUGCAGCCCAAAGCGGGUGGUAAACUCCAUCCAAGGCUAAAUACAGACACGAGUCCGAUAGCGAACAAGUACCGUGAGGGAAAGUUGAAAAGUACUCUGAAGAGAGAGUAAACAGUACGUGAAACCGCAUGCAGGUAAACGGGUGGCGUCAAGCUGCAAGCCCAGAGGAUUCAGCCGGUUAGGAUGUUGUGUAUGCGCCUGGCGCAUCUAUCAGUCGGAGUAUGAUUGGAUAGUCCAUCGGUAAACGGUGGGCCUGACCGCAAGGUCNNGAUAUGUGUACCGGGUGGGUGCCGGAGCAUGCUAUCCAUCUGAGGACUGUCUAAUCGGUGCACUUUCUCUGUGGUGAACACCACGACCGGUGGUAUUGCCAGUCUGCUGUGUCCAAGUCGUGUUUGGUAGGUCCUUGUGGCCAACUGGAUGCGAUCACAGGCAAAUUCAGUAAACGGCGUAGGGAUGUUUCGGCAUCUCUGCGUGUUAUCGGCUACUGGUUGUCAACGGGCCUGCUUGGUGUUUGCUGUUGUAACCGGCAUCAAGUGGUCUGGUGGGACAUGGUGGUAAGAAUAACUGUGCAAGGCACCGGAGUUAUCGGCCUCAAAUGCAUGCUGCACCCACGUUACAAGUGGUGUCUAUGAUGGCGGUGUUGUUGCUGUCUGCCCGGUGUUGGGUCUGAUUGUCGUGUCGCCUGCACAAAGUAGGCCCGGCAGUGGCUCGACUCGAGAUGGACAGUGGAUGAUGCCGUCCGGUGUGGCAUGUGGUGGGCCCAAUAGUCAGUGGUGUAGUGGA
RNAcentral lists this ribosomal RNA (1032 nucleotides) under Kapsulotaenia sp. INVE 32840. RNAcentral describes it as "eukaryotic LSU rRNA". It matches the Rfam family "Eukaryotic large subunit ribosomal RNA", at positions 59 to 638 of the family's 3401-position model. Lineage: Eukaryota; Metazoa; Platyhelminthes; Cestoda; Proteocephalidea; Proteocephalidae. The record is from RNAcentral.